AGGCACAAAGCUGAAACAUAUCGAUCAGUUUUCAAUUUUCGAUUCUAUGUGGUCGGUGUGUCGGUUGUGUAAUUUUGCCCGUCUGUUGAUUUAUCUUUCACCUAACGAGAUAUUUUGUCGUUCUCAAGGCUUAUGGUUUUUUAUAUGCCAAUUCGACAUGUAUUGUUUGGUUUUAUGAUUGUUUUACGGCGCUGACUGAUGGAGACGGGGAGAGGAGGAGAAUUGAAGGAGCCACACAAUCGUAACGAAUGGCAUGAUGAUGGAAGCGUUUUCCACUGGAGAUUAAAUUUCAUCAUGCCUUUUAAUAAGCUUCGACGGGACCAUCAAACAUUUACAUUCCAUGUUCACCAUCCGUGUGCGCGUUUGCAAUGUUUUCUAUCUUCCCCAAACAAUACAUACAUAUUUUGUUAACAAAUUCAACAACACGAAGACAAAAUACAGGCGAAUUUGUGGUGAACGCAGCUAGUCUUUGUUGAUAUAUCGCGUCAAAGGAAGGAAAGCAGCAGCAACAGCAGAAAUGUAUAAAUGAAAAUGAAAGAAUAGCGGUGAUCUGAAUGGAAUGAAAACGGAGUUUGCAGCUUCGGUAAAGUAUUGUUUUUGGGAUCAGACCAAAGCGCUCAUCUCACCAUAAUCACCAACAACAACUUCAACACGAACGUAACCAAUUUGAAUACCCAAUAAAAAACUCAUCCAUCUCAACAGUCAUGAUUGCCCACGAAGUUAGGUGUGUCUGCUAGAGGGAACGAAAGGGACAAAAAUAAUUGAGCCGACUGCGAUUCCGAUGAAGAAAUUUGUAGCUGACGGGAGUUUACUGAUGACGGUAUAAUCGCUGCGAAUAGUAUACAUCAACAGUGCACAAUUGUAUGAAUUUAUUAUAAAUAAAUAUUUGUAAAC
Toxorhynchites rutilus septentrionalis is the source of this 894-nucleotide long non-coding RNA. RefSeq lists it as uncharacterized. The record is from RefSeq and is a predicted model, not a curated record. NCBI's taxonomy places the organism in Eukaryota, Metazoa, Arthropoda, Insecta, Diptera, Culicidae. The transcript has 3 exons.